This 450-nucleotide ribosomal RNA is filed under the name uncultured bacterium. RNAcentral's name for it is "partial 16S ribosomal RNA". It matches the Rfam family "Bacterial small subunit ribosomal RNA", at positions 354 to 796 of the family's 1533-position model. The record is from RNAcentral.
GUGGGGAAUAUUGGACAAUGGGCGAAAGCCUGAUCCAGCCAUGCCGAGUGUGUGAAGAAGGUCUUCGGAUUGUAAAGCACUUUAAGUUGGGAGGAAGGGCAGUAAGUUAAUACCUUGCUGUUUUGACGUUACCGACAGAAUAAGCACCGGCUAACUUCGUGCCAGCAGCCGCGGUAAUACGAAGGGUGCAAGCGUUAAUCGGAAUUACUGGGCGUAAAGCGCGCGUAGGUGGUUUUGUAAGUUGGAGGUGAAAUCCCCAGGCUCAACCUGGGAACUGCCUCCAAAACUGCAUGACUAGAGUACGGUAGAGGGUAGUGGAAUUUCCUGUGUAGCGGUGAAAUGCGUAGAUAUAGGAAGGAACACCAGUGGCGAAGGCGACUACCUGGACUGAUACUGACACUGAGGUGCGAAAGCGUGGGGAGCAAACAGGAUUAGAUACCCGAGUAGUCC